GUGCCUGUAGCUCAGCUGAAUAGAGUGUCGCUCUCCGAAGGCGAAGGUCGCGGGUUUGACUCCCGCCAGGCACA
Molecule: non-coding RNA, 74 nt
Organism: Brachyspira sp. CAG:484
Lineage: Bacteria; Pseudomonadati; Spirochaetota; Spirochaetia; Brachyspirales; Brachyspiraceae
Source: Rfam